UGUACAGUUGAGAAUUUUUGCAACAAAAUGCGUGUCUUGUUGGAUCGCAAGAAAAUUUGUGAUGCGGAAACUUUGAGCUAGGAUUGAUUUACAUUCCAUACGAAUCUCCAUUUCUAGACGAUUCGUAGUAGAGGAGCAUUUUCUCUUCUCUCUGCAUCCUCACUUCUAAUAACACUUUUUACAACCCGCUCGGCCAGAGGAUUUAACCGAUUUUUUGUAGGAAAAAAAGUACCCAGCAAUGAUAUCAUGUGUAGGCUCACAUGUCAAUGUGUGGUUUGGUCAAACCAAAAGCUCUCAAGAAUCGGGAACCUGAUACAUAAAAAUUAUUCCCUCUGGAUAUAUGGGGGGAGACCUGAAAGAAGGAACAUCACAACAGUUCAGACAAAAGGAGCGACGAAGAAAUGAAGUUGCAAAGAGCAAAGGGAAAACCAGCAAACCUGGGAUGAUCAACGGCGGGAAUGUAGGCUUGAGCGACACCGCCAGCAAGGGGAUCUGCUGCAAGAUGGGAGCAGGGCGACGGGCAGAGCUCGUGCGGAGGAAGAGGAAAACCAUGCUUGCUAGUAGAAAACCUCCAGAGAGAAAAGGGUUGUUGCUGUUGAAAAACAACAUGCAGAAGCAAUAAGCCGUGCACUGUGUAUGCUUGAGCAGAUAUCCUUGUGGUGUUUUUUUACUUGAACCUAGGCGACAACUUCUGCC
RNAcentral lists this long non-coding RNA (696 nucleotides) under Triticum aestivum (bread wheat). Its description in RNAcentral is "long non-coding RNA (TAES_LNC019827)". The record is from RNAcentral. Lineage: Eukaryota; Viridiplantae; Streptophyta; Magnoliopsida; Poales; Poaceae.